RNAcentral lists this long non-coding RNA (335 nucleotides) under Androctonus crassicauda. The record is from RNAcentral. Lineage: Eukaryota; Metazoa; Arthropoda; Arachnida; Scorpiones; Buthidae.
GGGAGGCGUUCGUAGCCCAUGGAUGUCCUGGCGGCGAAUUCAGCAGUUUGGUCUGCAGGAUCCGCACCGGGCAUCGUGGAAUGAGCAGUGCAUCGCGCAGCUCUGCUGACGUCAUCGCGCCUCACCCUGAAGUUUUGGCCGGGCAUUUCCUAUCCGUCCCGUGGCGUCCUAUGUGCCACAGGGUUGCCGGUAUAAUUGGGAGGGGGCGCAGAUGUCACAUAUCGGAGGGGGGUCGCACUACAAUGUUCCGAAUGGUAUGCAAUGACAGAGAGGCUGGGCCUAGCGCUGAGGGGUGUGGGGUGUGUGAGAUGCCGUUGGUCGCUCCCAUGACUGAC